CUGCUCACCAGGGCUCGGUCCUCUCCACGUGGGACAGACCCACCCUCCAUGAGCGAGAGAAACGGGACUGGUUUGGGGGUCUCCUGUCUGAGUGGACACGGGAGACCACGGUUUUCAGUGCGACA
Non-coding RNA from Rhinolophus ferrumequinum (greater horseshoe bat), 125 nucleotides. The record is from Ensembl. Lineage: Eukaryota; Metazoa; Chordata; Mammalia; Chiroptera; Rhinolophidae.